GUACCUUUAGCUCAGUUGGUUAGAGCAGACGGCUCAUAACCGUCCGGUCGUAGGUUCGAGUCCUACAAGGUAUA
This 74-nucleotide transfer RNA is filed under the name Enterococcus faecium. RNAcentral's name for it is "tRNA-Ile". It matches the Rfam family "tRNA". Rfam says of the family: Transfer RNA (tRNA) molecules are approximately 80 nucleotides in length. Their secondary structure includes four short double-helical elements and three loops (D, anti-codon, and T loops). Further hydrogen bonds mediate the characteristic L-shaped molecular structure. tRNAs have two regions of fundamental functional importance: the anti-codon, which is responsible for specific mRNA codon recognition, and the 3' end, to which the tRNAs corresponding amino acid is attached (by aminoacyl-tRNA synthetases). tRNAs cope with the degeneracy of the genetic code in two manners: having more than one tRNA (with a specific anti-codon) for a particular amino acid; and 'wobble' base-pairing, i.e. permitting non-standard base-pairing at the 3rd anti-codon position. Lineage: Bacteria; Bacillati; Bacillota; Bacilli; Lactobacillales; Enterococcaceae. The record is from RNAcentral.